Molecule: ribosomal RNA, 357 nt
Filed under: uncultured bacterium
Lineage: Bacteria
Description: bacterial SSU rRNA
Rfam family: Bacterial small subunit ribosomal RNA
Source: RNAcentral
GAUGAACGCUAGCGGCAGGCUUAACACAUGCAAGUCGAGGGGUAUUGGUUUUCGGACCAAGAGACCGGCGCACGGGUGCGUAACGCGUAUGCAAUCUACCUUUUGCAGAGGGAUAGCCCCAGAGAAAUUUGGAUUAAUACCUCAUAGUAUAGUACUUUGGCAUCAAGGAACUAUUAAAGUCACAACGGCAAAAGAUGAGCAUGCGUCCAUUAGCUAGUUGGUAAGGUAACGGCUUACCAAGGCUACGAUGGGUAGGGGUUCUGAGAGGGAGAUCCCCACACUGGUACUGAGACACGGACCAGACUCCUACGGGAGGCAGCAGUGAGGAAUAUUGGACAAUGGGCGAAAGCCUGAUCC